Molecule: ribosomal RNA, 253 nt
Filed under: uncultured bacterium
Lineage: Bacteria
Description: partial 16S ribosomal RNA
Rfam family: Bacterial small subunit ribosomal RNA
Source: RNAcentral
UACAGAGGGUGCGAGCGUUGUCCGGAAUCACUGGGCGUAAAGGGCGCGUAGGUGGCGCGGCAAGUCAGUGGUGAAAGCUCGACGCUCAACGUCGAGUCGGCCACUGAUACUGCCGCGCUGGAGCACUGUAGAGGCUCAUGGAAUUCCGGGUGUAGCGGUGGAAUGCGUAGAGAUCCGGAAGAACACCGGUGGCGAAGGCGGUGAGCUGGGCAGUUGCUGACACUGAGGCGCGACAGCGUGGGGAGCAAACAGG